AACGAUAAAGGCAAACCUACCGCGAGGUAGGGACGCAAAGCCGUGAAUCUCAACAAGCUAGCCCCGAAGUCGGGGUCGAGCCUGUAGAGAUUGUCUGGUUGCCGAAG
Molecule: non-coding RNA, 107 nt
Filed under: Acidobacteriota bacterium
Lineage: Bacteria; Pseudomonadati; Acidobacteriota
Description: Acidobacteria bacterium c-di-GMP sequence
Rfam family: c-di-GMP-I-GGC riboswitch aptamer
Source: RNAcentral